This 379-nucleotide ribosomal RNA is filed under the name uncultured eukaryote. RNAcentral describes it as "partial 18S ribosomal RNA". It matches the Rfam family "Eukaryotic small subunit ribosomal RNA", at positions 592 to 975 of the family's 1831-position model. The record is from RNAcentral.
CAAUAGCGUAUAUUAAAGUUGUUGCGGUUAAAAAGCUCGUAGUUGGAUUUCUGCUGAGAACGACCGGUCCGCCCUUUGGGUGUGUAUCUGGCUCUUUCUUGGCAUCUUCUUGGUGAACGUUGCUGCACUUGACUGUGUGGAGCGCUACCCAGGACUUUUACUUUGAGGAAAUUAGAGUGUUUCAAGCAGGCAUACGCCUUGAAUACAUUAGCAUGGAAUAAUAAGAUAGGACCUCAGUUCUAUUUUGUUGGUUUCUAGAGCUGAGGUAAUGAUUAAUAGGGAUAGUUGGGGGCAUUCGUAUUUAACUGUCAGAGGUGAAAUUCUUGGAUCGGCUAAAGACGGACAACUGCGAAAGCGUUUGCCCAGGAUGUUUUCACUG